AGAGUUUGAUCAUGGCUCAGAUUGAACGCUGGCGGAAUGCUUUACACAUGCAAGUCGAACGGCAGCACGGACUUCGGUCUGGUGGCGAGUGGCGAACGGGUGAGUAAUACAUCGGAACGUGCCCAGUCGUGGGGGAUAACGUAGCGAAAGCUACGCUAAUACCGCAUACGAUCUACGGAUGAAAGCGGGGGACCGUAAGGCCUCGCGCGAUUGGAGCGGCCGAUGUUAGAUUAGGUAGUUGGUGGGGUAAAGGCUCACCAAGCCGACGAUCUAUAGCUGGUCUGAGAGGAUGAUCAGCCACACUGGGACUGAGACACGGCCCAGACUCCUACGGGAGGCAGCAGUGGGGAAUUUUGGACAAUGGGCGCAAGCCUGAUCCAGCCAUUCCGCGUGCAGGACGAAGGCCUUCGGGUUGUAAACUGCUUUUGUACAGAACGAAAAGCCUUGGGUUAAUACCCUGGGGUCAUGACGGUACUGUAAGAAUAAGCACCGGCUAACUACGUGCCAGCAGCCGCGGUAAU
RNAcentral lists this ribosomal RNA (521 nucleotides) under uncultured bacterium. Its description in RNAcentral is "bacterial SSU rRNA". It matches the Rfam family "Bacterial small subunit ribosomal RNA", at positions 8 to 524 of the family's 1533-position model. The record is from RNAcentral.